RNAcentral lists this ribosomal RNA (392 nucleotides) under Klebsiella pneumoniae. RNAcentral describes it as "bacterial SSU rRNA". It matches the Rfam family "Bacterial small subunit ribosomal RNA", at positions 396 to 780 of the family's 1533-position model. Lineage: Bacteria; Pseudomonadati; Pseudomonadota; Gammaproteobacteria; Enterobacterales; Enterobacteriaceae. The record is from RNAcentral.
GCCGCGUGUGUGAAGAAGGCCUUCGGGUUGUAAAGCACUUUCAGCGGGGAGGAAGGCGUUAAGGUUAAUAACCUUGGCGAUUGACGUUACCCGCAGAAGAAGCACCGGCUAACUCCGUGCCAGCAGCCGCGGUAAUACGGAGGGUGCAAGCGUUAAUCGGAAUUACUGGGCGUAAAGCGCACGCAGGCGGUCUGUCAAGUCGGAUGUGAAAUCCCCGGGCUCAACCUGGGAACUGCAUUCGAAACUGGCAGGCUAGAGUCUUGUAGAGGGGGGUAGAAUUCCAGGUGUAGCGGUGAAAUGCGUAGAGAUCUGGAGGAAUACCGGUGGCGAAGGCGGCCCCCUGGACAAAGACUGACGCUCAGGUGCGAAAGCGUGGGGAGCAAACAGGAUUA